UUUAAUGUUAAUUUCAGAAAAUAUUUGUGACCGCGCGCAAUGCGGUUAAUAGAAUCAGUGUUUGCUUCGUCAUAGUAUUUUGAAUAUUUUUUAGAGCACAACAGCUCUUAUUAAAUUUAAUUAGAAUAAUCAAACGCGAAGAUAGAAUCAGUGUUUGUUCGCCGAUUAUAAUAUAUACGGACGCGUUAUUAAAGUUUCUUAUUUUUUAUUUUUUUUUUUAUUCUCAAUUUUCGUUUUCGGCACAGGGUAGAGUCAGUGCUUCUCUCAAGAGAAUAAGGCGAUCAUCCACCACGCGAAGAGAUGCUGAUGAUCUUUAUGAAGAUUUUUGGAUUUUAAUCUUAAAAAAUAUUUGUGACCACGUGCAAUGUGGUUAGUAGAAUCAGUGUUUGCUUCGUUAUAGUAUUUUGAAUAUUUUUUUAGAGCACAACAGCUCUUAAAUUAAAUUUUAAUUAGAAUGAUCAAACGCGAAGAUAGAAUCAGUGUUUGUUCGCCGAUUAUAAUUUAUACGGACGCGUUGUUAACUUCUUAUUUUUAUUUUUUUUUAUUUUAAAUAUUCGUUUUCGGCACAGGGUAGAGUCAGUGCUUCUCUCAAGAGAAUAAGGCGAUCAUCCAUCACGCGAAGAGAUUUCUUCUACCUGAUGACUUCCUGAUGUACCUGAUGGGCUAUGGUAACAGUGAAAGCGUUCGUCGCAUCAUAUGGUGAGUCGCAUGGUUUUUGGUUCCUCCGGUCACUCAACCAUGUCGUAGGAUGAAAGAUCCGAAUCGACACGAGUGACUGGUUGUAUACGUAGAAUUUUGCACGAGCACAAUGACCGCGGAUAUUUAUUUAUAAUAAUUAUCCGCGAGUAGUAACGAUUAUUUCUUUUGUGUUUUAUUUAUUAGUUCAGGCUAGGGUCUUCUUACGCUUCGCGUUUUUGAUUAAUAUAAAAUGUUUAGUAAUUUUAAUAAUGCCAAAACAUAUAAUAAUUAUUAUUAUAUAAUUAUCAGUGUAAUACAAUAAUUAGUUUGAAUUUUUUUAAUUCAAAAUCCU
Apis cerana (Asiatic honeybee) is the source of this 1030-nucleotide long non-coding RNA. RefSeq lists it as uncharacterized. The record is from RefSeq and is a predicted model, not a curated record. Lineage: Eukaryota; Metazoa; Arthropoda; Insecta; Hymenoptera; Apidae.